This 1259-nucleotide long non-coding RNA is filed under the name Brassica rapa (field mustard). RNAcentral's name for it is "long non-coding RNA (BRAP_LNC007487)". The record is from RNAcentral. Lineage: Eukaryota; Viridiplantae; Streptophyta; Magnoliopsida; Brassicales; Brassicaceae.
UGGUGUUGUUGGAGAAGAUUUUAUUCCAAAAUAAAAUUUGGAGUCAAAAAUAGAGUAAGGUUGUAGAUGCCCUUAGUCUACUGUUUGGUUUGGCAUUUUGGCCUUAGUCCAAUUGCCUGUAAAAACCAGAUUGGUGACUUCAACCAAAAACGGGUUAGUGAAUCCAUGCCUUAUGCAAGUUACCAUUUGUUGUCCAAGUGUGAGCUAUCCUUAAAAAUUGUCGAUUAUAUUUAACAAAUCAUGGACCUGUGGUGCUGGGCUGGGCCGGACCAAAUCAAAGUCCUACUGAAUAAAAUGAUGAUAACAAGGAUUGGCGUGUUCAAAAAAAAAAAAAAACGCAUUGCUGAAUCUAAUCCGACGGCGUUCAAUAGCUAUCCACCAUUACUUUUGUAUGAUGUGGAGCUUUCAUUUAUGAUGCAUCGUUGUUAAGAAAUACUAUUUGACAUCCAAAAAUGCACCACAGUUAAGUUAUUACUUCAAACUUACGGUUUUAUGCAUGAAUCCAAUAUUAACUCUCUCAUGUUAAAUAAGGUUUUGAUGAUUUUGACUUCGAGUGAUUACCUGCAAGCUUGAUAAUCUAGAUGACCAAGUUAAUCUAUUUUUUUAAAAAGAAUUUUAAAUUUAUUCACUUCAAAAAACUUUUGUAGAAUCUAAUGUUAUUUAUGAGUUGAAAAGAAAAAGCUUAAAUGGAUAAAAUAUAAGAAAGAAUGAAAAAAUCAUCCGCUUCUAAACCAUAUCUUCAUAGCCUUCUCAUGCUUGAUUCCCACUUUCCUUCUCUUAUCUCUUCUUUUAUAUUAUGGUUGGACAUUUGUGUGUUCGGUUCAUAUAUUAACUCUCACGUGUUAAAUAAGGUUUUGAUGAUUUUGACUUCGAGUGAUUACCUGCAAGCUCGAUAAUCUAGAUGACCAAGUUAAUCUAUCGUUAUCUCUUCUUUUAUAUUAUGGUUGGACAUUUGUAGGUUCAUACCUAAAAUUAGUAUUGACUUAUUUAUUAUUGAUUUAAAUCAAUUCAUAAUGAUGUGAAUUUAAAAUAAUAUGCAUCUAUUUAAUCAGGAAAAAAAAUCAAAUUAAUAACAAUAAGUUGUGUUAUUGCACAGGGGGUUAUUUUUGAAAUAACAAAAAAGUAAUUAGAGUUUUAGUAAGAGGAUAGAGAGUGAUAGGAAGAAAAUGAGAAGAUAGGGUGUGUUUUAGUUAGAUAGUAAAUUUGAAAUUUUUUAAUGAAUAUAGAGAUAAAUUUUCCUACUGCAUAUUAGUCUGCCA